AGGUAUUGGCUUCACAAGGCUAUAUAGCCUAAGGAAGAUUAUUUUAUCUUGGAUUCUACCUUUGCUUCUCCGCUGAAACUUAAACUGUGGAAAGACUCUUCAAGAAAGCUAGCUGGGCCCCAAGCAAGGAAAGUAGAUUGUGAAGGAGAUAAUAAACUUGGGAGAGGGACCAGUGAUAUCAUAAGUUUCGAGGGAGUCCUUAUUUCAGUCAUGCUCAGUGACCACUUCAAACAGCUGUUCUACCUAUGAGUUUUAACUAAAGUUGCUUCUGGGGCAGGAAUUGCUUCUCAGCAUGGAGCUUCACAUGUGAGAACUUGAGGAAGAGACAUAUGCUCUGUUGUUAGCUCUUCCCUAACUUUCAGAAGAAACUGCCUUCAAAACACUGAACUAGCUCUGGCAAUGCAUGUGCUAACCUCAUUAUUAAUGUGGAUAUCCCUAGAAAGUAUAAUGGCAAGGGCACUUCAAGAUGGAAGUCUACUAGAAUAUGAAUUCAUUAUACCAGUUUUCAGAAGACAUGUCUAUCAAUUACUUAAGUGAAGUUACUGAAAUCCUUUGAAAAAUUCUGAAGAUAGAGAUUUUCAAUAUGAAAAAAGAUCUCACUGUUUCUAAGGCCCUUACAUUCUACUGAAAAUAUAUGGCAUAUACAAAGGUAAGUAUAGUAAAUACUAGAAGCUUGGGGAAUCUCUCACAAGUCCAUUUGUCUAGUACUUAAAAUAUGAGAAUGUGAAACAAUAUUAGCAGGAUAAAACUGCCUCAAAUGCUAGAUAAACAAAUUUGUGUUGAUCUCUAUACUCAAUAUUCCAUUUCCUCCCUUUCUACAUCUAUUCCUCAUAUGUCAAACUUUACUUCCUCAAUUUUCCCUUCAAAUUUAGAUGAAGAGCUACUUCCUAAAAAAGAGCCUUUUCCUAAUUCCUCUUAUUCAGUGGCAUGGGGUGACUAAAAUUUUUUGAACAAGGUAAUGAUGUGGUCAUGCAUUAGGCAGUUAUUUUUGGAAGCUGCACUAAGGAUGGAAUGUGAG
This 1018-nucleotide long non-coding RNA is filed under the name Sarcophilus harrisii (Tasmanian devil). RNAcentral's name for it is "lncRNA (ENSSHAG00000032188.1)". The record is from RNAcentral. Lineage: Eukaryota; Metazoa; Chordata; Mammalia; Dasyuromorphia; Dasyuridae.